AACCAUUCUCACCUGCGGCUAGACCUGCGGAAGGAUCAUUACAGAGUUGCAAGACUCCCUAAACCAUUGUGAACCUACCUUCUACCGUUGCUUCGGCGGGCGGGCCCAGCGCCCCCCCCGGCCCCCCGCGGGCGCCCGCCGGAGGAUACCCAAACUCUUGACAUUAGUGGCCUCUCUGAGUAUUCUUUACUGAAUAAGUCAAAACUUUUAGCAACGGAUCU
RNAcentral lists this unclassified non-coding RNA (221 nucleotides) under soil metagenome. RNAcentral describes it as "partial contains 5.8S ribosomal RNA, internal transcribed spacer 2, and large subunit ribosomal RNA". The record is from RNAcentral.